RNAcentral lists this ribosomal RNA (459 nucleotides) under uncultured bacterium. Its description in RNAcentral is "partial 16S ribosomal RNA". It matches the Rfam family "Bacterial small subunit ribosomal RNA", at positions 338 to 795 of the family's 1533-position model. The record is from RNAcentral.
CCUACGGGCGGCAGCAGUGAGGAAUAUUGGUCAAUGGGCGAGAGCCUGAACCAGCCAAGUCGCGUGAGGGAGUACUGCCCUAUGGGUUGUAAACCUCUUUUGUCGGGGAGCAAAAGCCGGACGUGUCCGGCUGUGAGAGUACCCGAAGAAAAAGCAUCGGCUAACUCCGUGCCAGCAGCCGCGGUAAUACGGAGGGUGCAAGCGUUGUCCGGAAUCAUUGGGCGUAAAGAGUUCGUAGGCGGCAUGUAAAGUCAGGUGUUAAAGGCGCAGGCUCAACCUGUGUAUGGCACUUGAUACUUGCAAGCUGGAAUGCGGUAGAGGUAAAGGGAAUUCCUGGUGUAGCGGUGAAAUGCUUAGAUAUCAGGAGGAACAUCGGUGGCGUAAGUGCUUUACUGGGCCGUAAUUGACGCUGAGGAACGAAAGCCAGGGUAGCAAAUGGGAUUAGAUACCCGAGUAGUC